CAUUUAUACUUGGCAAUUCCAUCUGAUCAUGUGGCAUGAAACUGCUGUACCUUUUCCCAAAAUGUUGUCUCUUGCUGCACGUACCGGAUGAACGUUUCGUUUCGUCACAUGCAGAAAUUCUUCAGAAAAGUCCUGAGUCCUGAGCUUCUUCAUUGCAGUCUGAAUUUGUUGCAGCCAGCUGGUGGAACUUGGUGUUCCUCUUGCUACCAGUACCGAUUGUAGCUUUCGUCACAUACAGAAACACUUCAUGUCCACUCCCCCUCAAUUAUUCAAAAUGGUGGCCAUCUGACAUGUUGAUUCCUGUAGAGGUGUGAUUGUGAUGAACAAUUCUCAUUCUCAGCUUUUUGAGAGAAGCUUAUCAGGUUAUUGCAUGUUGCUCUUUUGUCCAACUUGAAAAAUAUCUUAAGAAUGGAUGUAAAGCCAGUUUUCUGUAUGUUAGAAACUCGGGGAAUGAUAAAUAGUGCUUUUCUUCGUGCGGGGGACGAAAUUCCGCCAUUUCCCAUUUGUUUCCGAGACACUGACUGAAAAUGUAUUACGAACUUCCGGCGUCCUUUUACCUUUUCAGUCAUGUUAAUCAAAAGGGAAUUCCAGUUUUUAUGAGUUGAAUUGAGUUACAAUUUGAACUUGUAGUAAUAAGCCCAUUUACAUAUGGGCCUCUCUACACAUUCCUCUUCGUGU
Daphnia pulicaria is the source of this 678-nucleotide long non-coding RNA. RefSeq lists it as uncharacterized. Lineage: Eukaryota; Metazoa; Arthropoda; Branchiopoda; Diplostraca; Daphniidae. The transcript is spliced from 4 exons. The record is from RefSeq and is a predicted model, not a curated record.